This 21-nucleotide non-coding RNA is filed under the name Caenorhabditis elegans. The record is from RNAcentral. Lineage: Eukaryota; Metazoa; Nematoda; Chromadorea; Rhabditida; Rhabditidae.
UUUCAUUUUGUCGCAACAUAC